GGGCCUGUAGCUCACCUGGGAGAGCGCAUCGUUCGCAACGAUGAGGUAGAGGGUUCGAUCCCCUUCAGGUCCACCA
Molecule: transfer RNA, 76 nt
Filed under: Erysipelotrichaceae bacterium
Lineage: Bacteria; Bacillati; Bacillota; Erysipelotrichia; Erysipelotrichales; Erysipelotrichaceae
Description: tRNA-Ala
Rfam family: tRNA
About the family: Transfer RNA (tRNA) molecules are approximately 80 nucleotides in length.
Source: RNAcentral